AGAGUUUGAUCCUGGCUCAGGACGAACGCUGGCGGCGUGCUUAACACAUGCAAGUCGAACGAUGACGGUGGUGCUUGCACCGCCUGAUUAGUGGCGAACGGGUGAGUAACACGUGAGUAACCUGCCCUCCACUUCGGGAUAACCUCGGGAAAUCGUGGCUAAUACCGGAUAUGAGCACUCAUCGCAUGGUGGGUGUUGGAAAGAUUUAUCGGUGGGGGAUGGACUCGCGGCCUAUCAGUUUGUUGGUGAGGUGAUGGCUCACCAAGACGAUGACGGGUAGCCGGCCUGAGAGGGCGACCGGCCACACUGGGACUGAGACACGGCCCAGACUCCUACGGGAGGCAGCAGUGGGGAAUAUUGCACAAUGGGCGAAAGCCUGAUGCAGCGACGCCGCGUGGGGGAUGACGGCCUUCGGGUUGUAAACCCCUUUCAGUAGGGAAGAAGCGAGAGUGACGGUACCUGCAGAAGAAGCGCCGGCUAACUACGUG
This 488-nucleotide ribosomal RNA is filed under the name uncultured Brachybacterium sp. Its description in RNAcentral is "bacterial SSU rRNA". It matches the Rfam family "Bacterial small subunit ribosomal RNA", at positions 8 to 507 of the family's 1533-position model. Lineage: Bacteria; Bacillati; Actinomycetota; Actinomycetes; Micrococcales; Dermabacteraceae. The record is from RNAcentral.